Verticillium dahliae VdLs.17 is the source of this 67-nucleotide transfer RNA. It matches the Rfam family "tRNA". Rfam says of the family: Transfer RNA (tRNA) molecules are approximately 80 nucleotides in length. Their secondary structure includes four short double-helical elements and three loops (D, anti-codon, and T loops). Further hydrogen bonds mediate the characteristic L-shaped molecular structure. tRNAs have two regions of fundamental functional importance: the anti-codon, which is responsible for specific mRNA codon recognition, and the 3' end, to which the tRNAs corresponding amino acid is attached (by aminoacyl-tRNA synthetases). tRNAs cope with the degeneracy of the genetic code in two manners: having more than one tRNA (with a specific anti-codon) for a particular amino acid; and 'wobble' base-pairing, i.e. permitting non-standard base-pairing at the 3rd anti-codon position. NCBI's taxonomy places the organism in Eukaryota, Fungi, Ascomycota, Sordariomycetes, Glomerellales, Plectosphaerellaceae. The record is from Rfam.
CCAAUCAUAGUAAUGGUUAUGACUGCGGAUUCUGAUUCCGCCAGCCCAGGUUCGAUUCCUGGUUGGA